GUGAUGUUUGUGGAAAUGUGUGUUUACUUU
Molecule: non-coding RNA, 30 nt
Filed under: Rattus norvegicus (Norway rat)
Lineage: Eukaryota; Metazoa; Chordata; Mammalia; Rodentia; Muridae
Source: RNAcentral